UAGCCGCUGUUGCAAAAUAAAUCCAUCACCGGGGGGGGGGGGGGUUGGGAAGAAGAAUUUUUUAUUUUCUUACAUUGGUUCAAGGUUGAGUCGUUUCUGAGAUGUCAGAUUUCAAAGGAAGGUAAAGUAAAAGAGAUGUUCACACUGUAAACAUAUAUGAUGACAUGCAACUGGUGCUGAUAAUAGCUCUUAUCUGAUGAAUCAUCUAUUGGUUCAAAGUUAGAGGUGGGGUUAGGAUGGAGACUGUCCCAAGGGGGGAAA
Molecule: long non-coding RNA, 261 nt
Organism: Telopea speciosissima
Lineage: Eukaryota; Viridiplantae; Streptophyta; Magnoliopsida; Proteales; Proteaceae
Exons: 2
Source: RefSeq, a predicted model, not a curated record